AGAGUUUGAUCCUGGCUCAGGACGAACGCUGGCGGUGUGCUUCACACAUGCAAGUCGAGCGAAUGAAGAAGGUAGCUUGCUACUUUUGGAUUUAGCGGCGGACGGGUGAGUAAUAUAUAGGAAUCUGCCCUAGAGCGGGGAACAACAGACCGAAAGGUUUGCUAAUGCCCCAUAGGUACGCAGUCUUCGGAUUGUUUAUUAAAGGAGUAAUCCACUCUAGGAUGAGCCUGUAUCCGAUUAGCUAGUUGGCGGGGUAAAGGCCCACCAAGGCUACGAUCGGUAGUUGGUCUGAGAGGAUGAUCAGCCACAAUGGGACUGAGACACGGCCCAUACUCCUACGGGAGGCAGCAGUGGGGAAUUUUACACAAUGGGGGAAACCCUGAUGUAGCGACACCGCGUGAACGAAGAAGCCUUUUGGGGUGUAAAGUUCUGUCGGCUGGAACGGAAAAAAUGACGGUACCAGCAAAGGAAGCAUCGGCUAACUACGUGCCAGCAGCCGCGGUAAGACGUAGGAUGCAAGCGUUGUCCGGAUUUAUUGGGCGUAAAGAGUUCGUAGGCGGUUAUUUAAGUCUGGUGUUAAAUACUGUGGCCCAACCACAGAACUGCAUUGGAUACUGGAUGACUUGAGUGCGGUAGAGGCGAGUGGAAUUCCCAGUGUAGCGGUGAAAUGCGUAGA
This 676-nucleotide ribosomal RNA is filed under the name uncultured bacterium. RNAcentral's name for it is "bacterial SSU rRNA". It matches the Rfam family "Bacterial small subunit ribosomal RNA", at positions 8 to 694 of the family's 1533-position model. The record is from RNAcentral.